This 270-nucleotide ribosomal RNA is filed under the name uncultured bacterium. RNAcentral describes it as "partial 16S ribosomal RNA". It matches the Rfam family "Bacterial small subunit ribosomal RNA", at positions 29 to 328 of the family's 1533-position model. The record is from RNAcentral.
AACGAACGCUGGCGGCAGGCUUAAGACAUGCAAGUCGAACGCCCCGCAAGGGGAGUGGCAGACGGGUGAGUAACGCGUGGGAACAUGCCCCAAGGUACGGAACAACUUCGGGAAACUGAAGCUAAUACCGUAUGUGACCGAGAGGUGAAAGAUUUAUCGCCUUGGGAUUGGCCCGCGUAAGAUUAGCUAGUUGGUGGGGUAAUGGCCUACCAAGGCGACGAUCUUUAGCUGGUCUGAGAGGAUGAUCAGCCACACUGGGACUGAGACACG